ACGGGAGGCAGCAGUGGGGAAUAUUGCGCAAUGGGGGGAACCCUGACGCAGCAACGCCGCGUGCAGGAAGAAGGUUUUCGGAUUGUAAACUUCUUUUGUUAGGGACGAAAUUUGACGGUACCUAACGAAUAAGCUCCGGCUAACUACGUGCCAGCAGCCGCGGUAAU
This 167-nucleotide ribosomal RNA is filed under the name uncultured rumen bacterium. RNAcentral's name for it is "partial 16S ribosomal RNA". It matches the Rfam family "Bacterial small subunit ribosomal RNA", at positions 341 to 524 of the family's 1533-position model. The record is from RNAcentral.